This is a long non-coding RNA of Oncorhynchus mykiss (rainbow trout), 1899 nucleotides long. NCBI's taxonomy places the organism in Eukaryota, Metazoa, Chordata, Actinopteri, Salmoniformes, Salmonidae. The record is from Ensembl.
AUGUCAUUAUGGGGUAUUGUGAUGUCAUUAUGGGGUAUUGUGAUGUCAUUAUGGGUUAUUGUGAUGUCAUUAUGGGGUAUUGUGAUGUCAUUAUGGGGUAUUGUGAUGUCAUUAUGGGGUAUUGUGAUGUCUUUAUGGGGUAUUGUGAUGUCAUUAUGGGGUAUUGUGAUGUCAUUAUGGGGUGUUGUGAUGUCAUUAUGGGGUAUUGUGAUGUCAUUAUGGGGUAUUGUGGUGUCAUUAUGGGGUAUUGUGAUGUCAUUAUGGGGUAUUGUGAUGUCAUUAUGGGGUAUUGUGAUGUCAUUAUGGGGUAUUGUGAUGUCAUUAUGGGGUAUUGUGAUGUCAUUAUGGGGUAUUGUGAUGUCAUUAUGGGGUAUUGUGGUGUCAUUAUGGGGUUAUUGUGAUGUCAUUAUGGGGUAUUGUGAUGUCAUUAUGGGGUAUUGUGAUGUCAUUAUGGGUUAUUGUGAUGUCAUUAUGGGGUAUUGUGAUGUCAUUAUGGGGUAUUGUGAUGUCAUUAUGGGGUAUUGUGAUGUCAUUAUGGGGUAUUGUGAUGUCAUUAUGGGGUGUUGUGAUGUCAUUAUGGGGUAUUGUGAUGUCAUUAUGGGGUAUUGUGGUGUCAUUAUGGGGUAUUGUGAUGUCAUUAUGGGUUAUUGUGGUGUCAUUAUGGGGUAUUGUGAUGUCAUUAUGGGGUAUUGUGGUGUCAUUAUGGGUUAUUGUGAUGUCAUUAUGGGGUAUUGUGAUGUCAUUAUGGGUUAUUGUGAUGUCAUUAUGGGUUAUUGUGAUGUCAUUAUGGGGUAUUGUGGUGUCAUUAUGGGGUAUUGUGAUGUCAUUAUGGGUUAUUGUGAUGUCAUUAUGGGGUAUUGUGGUGUCAUUAUGGGGUAUUGUGAUGUCAUUAUGGGGUAUUGUGAUGUCAUUAUGGGGUAUUGUGAUGUCAUUAUGGGUUAUUGUGAUGUCAUUAUGGGGUAUUGUGGUGUCAUUAUGGGGUAUUGUGAUGUCAUUAUGGGGUAUUGUGAUGUCAUUAUGGGUUAUUGUGAUGUCAUUAUGGGGUAUUGUGGUGUCAUUAUGGGGUAUUGUGAUGUCAUUAUGGGGUAUUGUGAUGUCAUUAUGGGGUAUUGUGAUGUCAUUAUGGUGUAUUGUGAUGUCAUUAUGGUGUAUUGUGAUGUCAUUAUGGGGUAUUGUGAUGUCAUUAUGGGGUAUUGUGAUGUCAUUAUGGGGUAUUGUGAUGUCAUUAUGGGGUAUUGUGAUGUCAUUAUGAGGUAUUGUGAUGUCAUUAUGGGGUAUUGUGAUGUCAUUAUGGGGUGUUGUGAUGUCAUUAUGGGGUAUUGUGAUGUCAUUAUGGGGUGUUGUGAUGUCAUUAUGGGGUAUUGUGAUGUCAUUAUGGGGUAUUGUGAUGUCAUUAUGGGGUAUUGUGAUGUCAUUAUGGGGUAUUGUGAUGUCAUUAUGGGGUAUUGUGAUGUCAUUAUGGGGUAUUGUGAUGUCAUUAUGGGGUAUUGUGGUGUCAGUAUGGGGUAUAGUGAUGUCAUUAUGGGGUAUUGUGAUGUCAUUAUGGGGUAUUGUGAUGUCAUUAUGGGGUAUUGUGAUGUCAUUAUGGGGUAUUGUGAUGUCAACGUUCAGAACGAUGUUCCUUGUGUGGUAGUAGAUGGAAUCCUUGUUCCUCCUAGCAGGAGGUGUUGUGUGGUAGUAGAUGUAAUCCUUGUUCCUCCUAUCAGGAGGUGUUGUGUGGUAGUAGAUGUAAUCCUUGUUCCUCCUAGCAGGAGGUGUUAUGUGGUAGUAGAUGUAAUCCUUGUUCCUCCUAGCAGGAGGUGUUGUGUGGUAGUAGAUGUAAUCCUUGUUCCUCAGCAGGAGGUGUUGUGUGGUAGUAGAUGUAAUCCUUGUUCCUCAGCAGGAGGUCUUGUGUGGUAG